ACUUUUAAUCUGAACAUGAAAGCUUGACAAAGGACUUUUAUUUUAUCUGGAAGCAACAGUUUGAAGUUCAAAGUGUCUUAAUGCUGGAUGUGUUUCAUCUUCUCCAGAUGUUCACUGAUGAACUGGAGUGCUGUGGAUUAUUGUGAUGUUUUUAUCAGACUCUCAUUCUGACUGCACCCAUUCACUGCAGAGCAAAUGAUGCAAUGCUACAUUUCUCCAAAUCUGAUGAAGAAACAAACUCAUCCUCAUCUUGGAUGACCUGAGGAUCGGCCUGACGGGCAGGAGAGGUCACGAGGAGAUGUCACAGGUCACGGAGAGCCGCCAAUCACGCUUUAGCCUCAACAUUUUGACAUGCGCCCAAUGAUUGCCACAGAGAGAGAGAGAGAGUCAUGUGACCCUGCAGAAAACUCCAAUUAGAGCGCGGAGGUUACAAGUUCUUGGAAACCGAAGGGAUGUGAGUCACAGUGUGAAGUGCAAAACCUUGGAAAAUGCUUUUAAUCACCGAUUCGAAGCUCCUGACUUUUUCGGCAACUGCUGCCAAACCCAUGUGACCUGAAGUACCUUAAAGUGUUUUAAGGUAAUGUUUCAAUCAUUUAAAUGAUCUAUUUAGUAAAAUAUGUUUUAUUUAUUAUUAUUAUUAUUAUUUUAUCAUCGUGUUUUUAAUUUUUUAAUUUUAUUUAUUUAAAUUUUAGUUGAAUUAUUUUAUUAUUAUUAUUAAAUACUUAAAACACUUCUGAUAUUUUACUUUAGUAUUUUAAAAAUGUAAUUAUUAUCAUUAUUAUUAUUUUAUCAUUGUGUUUUUUUCUAUUUAAAUUUUACAUAAUUUUUUUUAAUUAUUAUUAUUAAAUACUUAAAACACUUCUGAUUUUUUUCUUUAGUAUUUAAAAAAAGUAAGUUAUUAUUAUUAUUAUUGUGAUUUUGAAAGAAUGGUGAUUUUUUUUAAAUCUUUUAUUUGGGGGGGGUUAUUAGUUAUAUGUUUUUUUUUAAUGUAAUUUCAUAUGUAAUAAUUAUCAAUGUUUUAAAAAAUUCAUGUACUCUCAGGGCUUUUUGAACUCUACUUUGGGAAACCAUUCUAUAACUUAUUAUAAUAAUUUUUUUUAAUUAAUAUUAUUUUAUAUUUUAAAACUAUUUUAAAAUAUUUAUUUAAAAUACCCCUGAGAUUUUAAAUUUACAUUUAUUUUGUAAAUGUAUUUGUCCCUUUGUUUGUUUUUAAGAGUUUGUUUAAUCUAAAUUUGUGUAAUUUAAUUAUAAUUCGCUUUAAAUUAACUGACAAAAUGAUUAUCUGAACAUGUAAUCAUUAGCUUUUUACAAACCUCAGUUUGGGAACCUCUAGUUGUUAUUUUUAUAAAUAUUACUGCAACUAUUAAAAAUUAUGAAAUGUAUAAACUAAAUACAAAUACAUAAUGCUUGAUCUACUUAAUUUUAAACCUGUAAUUCUUACAAACCUUCAAAGCUUUUAAACAAGGAUUUGUCUCGCUUUUCUGCAACCUUUUUCUCAUCUUAUUAUACCCCACAUAUCAUAUAUCUAUUAAAAUAAAAACAAUAACUGAUAUAAAUAUAUGCAACUGUGGCAAAGUUACUUGUUUCACAUCAAAAUGUGUUUGCCAAUG
This is a long non-coding RNA of Carassius auratus (goldfish), 1610 nucleotides long. The record is from Ensembl. Lineage: Eukaryota; Metazoa; Chordata; Actinopteri; Cypriniformes; Cyprinidae.